CUAAGUGGCGGACGGGUGAGUAAUGUAUAGUUAAUCUGCCCUUUAGAGGGGAUAACAGUUGGAAACGACUGCUAAUACCCCAUACUCCUUUUACAUUAAUUGUAAUUGGGAAACGUUUUUUCGCUAAAGGAUGGGACUAUAUGGUAUCAGGUAGUUGGUGGGGUAAGAGCCCACCAAGCCAAUGACGCCUAGCUGGUCUGAGAGGAUGAUCAGCCACACAGGAACUGAGACACGGUCCAG
RNAcentral lists this ribosomal RNA (240 nucleotides) under uncultured bacterium. Its description in RNAcentral is "partial 16S ribosomal RNA". It matches the Rfam family "Bacterial small subunit ribosomal RNA", at positions 91 to 334 of the family's 1533-position model. The record is from RNAcentral.